AAAUUGAAGAGUUUGAUCAUGGCUCAGAUUGAACGCUGGCGGCAGGCCUAACACAUGCAAGUCGAACGGUAACAGGAAGCAGCUUGCUGCUUUGCUGACGAGUGGCGGACGGGUGAGUAAUGUCUGGGAAACUGCCUGAUGGAGGGGGAUAACUACUGGAAACGGUGGCUAAUACCGCAUAACGUCGCAAGACCAAAGAGGGGGACCUUCGGGCCUCUUGCCAUCAGAUGUGCCCAGAUGGGAUUAGCUUGUUGGUGAGGUAACGGCUCACCAAGGCGACGAUCCCUAGCUGGUCUGAGAGGAUGAUCAGCCACACUGGAACUGAGACACGGUCCAGACUCCUACGGGAGGCAGCAGUGGGGAAUAUUGCACAAUGGGCGCAAGCCUGAUGCAGCCAUGCCGCGUGUAUGAAGAAGGCCUUCGGGUUGUAAAGUACUUUCAGCGGGGAGGAAGGUGUUG
This 459-nucleotide ribosomal RNA is filed under the name Salmonella enterica. Its description in RNAcentral is "partial 16S ribosomal RNA". It matches the Rfam family "Bacterial small subunit ribosomal RNA", at positions 1 to 456 of the family's 1533-position model. Lineage: Bacteria; Pseudomonadati; Pseudomonadota; Gammaproteobacteria; Enterobacterales; Enterobacteriaceae. The record is from RNAcentral. RNAcentral also lists the same sequence under 1 other name.